Molecule: small nucleolar RNA, 137 nt
Organism: Acomys russatus (golden spiny mouse)
Lineage: Eukaryota; Metazoa; Chordata; Mammalia; Rodentia; Muridae
Product: small nucleolar RNA SNORA29
Exons: 1
Source: RefSeq, a predicted model, not a curated record
UUUCCCAGUUGACUACCACACUUUCUCCUAAUAGAUUUUAGUGGCCAUGCUUAUUGGAUAGAUGGAAGGUGCUGUGAUCUGAAGAGGAAAGACCUUUUAAUGCCCUCCCUCUAUAUGAAAUGGCUGAACAGAAAAGA